CAAGCUGUGAAAUGGGGAUAAAGAUACUUUACAGGGUUACUGUGAAGAACAAAGGCAGCUCAAUUUUGUUCAUGGUACAAAAAGGAGGCGAAGGGAAAGGAAGCGAUUGUACGCUCUGAAUUGAGCAUUGCAUGCCUUUAAUCCUCAGAGCAAACUCCAGUUCACAGACAGAAACUUCGGGGAGGUUUAGUACCUUCCUUCAAACCACACAGGCCUGAUCCCGGGACCGUCUAGCCCUGGCCCAUGUUCCCUAUCUACUUGCCGACUACCUGACUCCAACUUCCCUGAGGGUGGAGACCAUGUCAAUCCUGUUUACUUGUCUUUCCAGUGCCAGGAAUAUACUAGAAGGCUUUCAGUAAAUGUAGAAUAAAUGAAUGGUUAAUGGG
Molecule: long non-coding RNA, 386 nt
Organism: Prionailurus viverrinus (fishing cat)
Lineage: Eukaryota; Metazoa; Chordata; Mammalia; Carnivora; Felidae
Exons: 2
Source: RefSeq, a predicted model, not a curated record